GGAAAAGAAACCAACAGGGAUUGCCCCAGUAACGGCGAGUGAAGCGGCAACAGCUCAAAUUUGAAAUCUGGCCCCCCGCGGGCCCGAGUUGUACUUUGGAGAGGACGCUUCUGGCGCGGCGCCGUCCGAGUUCCCUGGAACGGGACGCCGGAGAGGGUGAGAGCCCCGUACGGGCGGCCGCCUAGCCUCUGCGAAGCUCCUUCGACGAGUCGAGUAGUUUGGGAAUGCUGCUCAAAAUGGGAGGUAAAUUUCUUCUAAAGCUAAAUACCGGCCAGAGACCGAUAGCGCACAAGUAGAGUGAUCGAAAGAUGAAAAGCACUUUGAAAAGAGGGUCAAACAGUACGUGAAAUUGUUGAAAGGGAAGCGCCUGUGGCCAGACUUGCGCCCCGCGGACCACCCGGCGCCUCGCGCGCCGGGGCACGCCAGCGGGGCGCAGGCCAGCAUCGGCUCUCUCGGGGGGACAAAGGCCGCGGGAACGUAGCGCCCUCGCGGCGUAUUAUAGCCCGCGGCGCCAUGCCCCCGGGGGGGCCGAGGACCGCGCUCCGGCAAGGAUGCUGGCGUAAUGGCCACCGGCGACCCGUCUUGAAACACGGACCAAGGAGUCAAGCAUUGGGGCGAGUGUCUGGGUGGCAAGCCCGCACGCGGAAUGAAAGUGAACGCAGGUGGGAGCUUCGGCGCACCACCGACCGAUCCUGAUGUCCUCGGAUGGAUUUGAGUAGGAGCCCCGCCGCUUGGACCCGAAAGAUGGUGAACUAUGCCUGUAUAGGGUGAAGCCAGAGGAAACUCUGGUGGAGGCCCGCAGCGGNUUCUGACGUGCAAAUCGAUCGUCA
Molecule: ribosomal RNA, 830 nt
Filed under: Harringtonia lauricola
Lineage: Eukaryota; Fungi; Ascomycota; Sordariomycetes; Ophiostomatales; Ophiostomataceae
Description: Raffaelea lauricola partial large subunit ribosomal RNA
Rfam family: Eukaryotic large subunit ribosomal RNA
Source: RNAcentral